Molecule: long non-coding RNA, 287 nt
Organism: Thalassophryne amazonica
Lineage: Eukaryota; Metazoa; Chordata; Actinopteri; Batrachoidiformes; Batrachoididae
Exons: 3
Source: RefSeq, a predicted model, not a curated record
UGACAGAAACUGGAGAGGAGAGAAUAUUAGGCUGUUCAAAAAAAUAGUAGUGUCUCCAUUUUUCUUUUUGACCCUUGUUACACCCUUACAGGUGGCCCUUAUUUAAGGACUAAGGCAGUAAAUGUUGUGCACGCUGGCUGUAGUUCAUUUCUCUCCGAUCUGAGUAAAAUGGGUCGUUCCAGACAUUGUUCAGAAGAACAGUGUACUUUGAUUAAAAAGUUGAUUGCAAAAAGGGAAAACAUAUAAAGAAGUGCAGAAAUGAUAGGUUGCUCAGCUAAAAUAAUCUC